CCAGACGGCUGGAUGGUCGCUCUUCGCCCCGCUCGGCUUCGGCCGGGCGGGAUGGAGGGAGGAAAGUCCGGGCUCCACGGAAACACGGUGCCGGGUAACGCCCGGCGGGGGCGACCCUAGGGAAAGUGCCACAGAAAGCAAACCGCCGUUCCGCGGCGCCGGGGGCAACCCCGGAUGCAGCCGAGCGGUAAGGGUGAAAGGGUGCGGUAAGAGCGCACCGCGCAUGCCGGCAACGGCUGCGGCACGGUAAACCCCACCGGGAGCAAGACCAAAUAGGGACGGCCGGUCGGCGUCGCCUUCGGGCGGCGUGCGGCGCGCCAGUUUCCGGGCUGCCGUCCGGGUCGGUCGCGCGAGGCGCUCGGUAACGAGCGUCCCAGAUGAAUGACCAUCCAGAGGGGUCCGCCCCUUGGACAGAACCCGGCUUACAGGCCGUCUGGCAAC
RNAcentral lists this RNase P RNA (441 nucleotides) under Allostella humosa. RNAcentral's name for it is "Stella humosa Bacterial RNase P class A". It matches the Rfam family "Bacterial RNase P class A". Rfam says of the family: Ribonuclease P (RNase P) is a ubiquitous endoribonuclease, found in archaea, bacteria and eukarya as well as chloroplasts and mitochondria. Its best characterised activity is the generation of mature 5'-ends of tRNAs by cleaving the 5'-leader elements of precursor-tRNAs. Cellular RNase Ps are ribonucleoproteins. Lineage: Bacteria; Pseudomonadati; Pseudomonadota; Alphaproteobacteria; Rhodospirillales; Allostellaceae. The record is from Rfam by way of RNAcentral.